GACGAACGCUGGCGGCGUGCUUAACACAUGCAAGUCGAACGGAAAGGCCCUGCUUUUGUGGGGUGCUCGAGUGGCGAACGGGUGAGUAACACGUGAGUAACCUGCCCUUGACUUUGGGAUAACUUCAGGAAACUGGGGCUAAUACCGGAUAGGAGCUCCUGCUGCAUGGUGGGGGUUGGAAAGUUUCGGCGGUUGGGGAUGGACUCGCGGCUUAUCAGCUUGUUGGUGGGGUAGUGGCUUACCAAGGCUUUGACGGGUAGCCGGCCUGAGAGGGUGACCGGCCAAAUUGGGGCUGGAAUCCGGCCGGGCCCCCGCGGGGGGGGAGGGGGGGGGAAAUUGGAAAAAGGGGGGGAGGCCUGAGGCACAAACGCCGGGGGCGGGAGAGGGGCCUUCGGGUGGAAAACCGCUUUCGCCGGUGACGAAGCGGGGGUAACGGUAAUGGGUAAAGAAGCACGGGCUAACAACGU
This 467-nucleotide ribosomal RNA is filed under the name uncultured bacterium. Its description in RNAcentral is "partial 16S ribosomal RNA". It matches the Rfam family "Bacterial small subunit ribosomal RNA", at positions 28 to 506 of the family's 1533-position model. The record is from RNAcentral.